Non-coding RNA from Fukomys damarensis (Damara mole-rat), 46 nucleotides. NCBI's taxonomy places the organism in Eukaryota, Metazoa, Chordata, Mammalia, Rodentia, Bathyergidae. The record is from Rfam.
GAAAAGGCUCUUUUAAGAGCCACCCACAAUAUCAUUUUGAAAGCAG